Molecule: ribosomal RNA, 504 nt
Filed under: uncultured bacterium
Lineage: Bacteria
Description: bacterial SSU rRNA
Rfam family: Bacterial small subunit ribosomal RNA
Source: RNAcentral
CUGGCUCAGGAUGAACGCUGGCGGUGUGCCUAAUACAUGCAAGUCGAUCGGGCGUAGCAAUACGUCAGAGGCGUACGGGUGAGUAACACGUAGGUAACCUACCUUUAAGACUGGGAUACCCAGACGAAAGUUUGGCUAAUACCGGAUAACAACAUUUGAGACAUCUCUUUGUUUGAAAGGCGCUGCAAGGCGCCACUUUUAGAUGGACCUGCGUCGCAUUAGCUAGUUGGUGAGAUAAAAGCCCACCAAGGCUGGGAUGCGUAGCCGAUCUGAGAGGAUGACCGGCCACAAUGGGACUGAGACACGGCCCAUACUCCUACGGGAGGCAGCAGUAGGGAGUUUUCGGCAAUGGGGGAAACCCUGACCGAGCAACACCGCGUGAGUGAUGAAAGGUCUUCGGAUCGUAAAGCUCUGUUACGAGGGACGAAUGAUCGCUUUAGGAAAUGAGAGCGGUUUGACGGUACCUCGCCAGAAAGCGACGGCUAACUACGUGCCAGCAGCAGC